Molecule: long non-coding RNA, 353 nt
Filed under: Brassica napus (rape)
Lineage: Eukaryota; Viridiplantae; Streptophyta; Magnoliopsida; Brassicales; Brassicaceae
Description: long non-coding RNA (BNAP_LNC000352)
Source: RNAcentral
CAGUUGAAACUAUUUUCUUUUCUAAGACCAUUGGUGAAUUUGAAACUGAAAUGAACAUAAUGGUUGACAUUGCCGGAGCUUGAGCAGCUUGGUUCGGAGACUUCAAUAAGGUAGCUAGGUCAAAGAAAGUUGAGCCGUAAACUCCUGUUCUAGAAAACUCGUCCGGAAGAGCAAAGGAUGCAUGUACUGAAAAGACGAGACUCAUCGUGACAGUUAUCGGCUUGUUGAAAGUGAUGACGAGCAUCGGCUUCCCCAAACAAACAAUGACAAGCAGAAAUAAGCGUGUGGCAUGGACCUUUGGCGAUGUAAUUAGCAGUCGAGGCAGCGUGUACACAAAGGUCGGAAGAGAUGAG